AGAGUUUGAUCCUGGCUCAGAUUGAACGCUGGCGGCAAGCCUCAUACAUGCAAGUCGAGCGAGAACGUUACUUCGGUAGCUAGUAAAGCGGCGGACGGGUGAGUAACGCGUAGGAAUCUACCUUUCAGCGGGGGAUAGCUCGGGGAAACCCGAAUUAAUACCGCAUACACCCUAAGGGGGAAAGAGGGCCUAUCCUUGGAAGCUCUCGCUGUUAGAUGAGCCUGCGUGAGAUUAGUUUGUUGGUGGGGUAAUGGCCUACCAAGACUACGAUCUCUAGCUGGUCUGAGAGGACGAUCAGCCACACUGGGACUGAGACACGGCCCAGACUCCUACGGGAGGCAGCAGUAGGGAAUAUUGGACAAUGGGGGCAACCCUGAUCCAGCUAUGCCGCGUGUGUGAAGAAGGCUCUAGGGUUGUAAAGCACUUUAGGUAAGGACGAAAAGAAUAUAGUUAAUACCUAUAUUCCGUGACUUAACUUACAGAAUAAGGACCGGCUAACUCCGUGCCAGCAGCCGCGGUAAUACGGAGGGUCCAAGCGUUAAUCGGAAUUACUGGGCGUAAAGCGCGCGUAGGCGGUUUGUCAAGUUGGAUGUGAAAUCCCUGGGCUCAACCUAGGAACUGCAUUCAAAACUUAUAGACUAGAGUACGAUAGAGGAGAGUAGAAUUCCUGGUGUAGCGGUGAAAUGCGUAGAUAUCAGGAGGAAUACCAAUGGCGAAGGCAACUCUCUGGAUCGACACUGACGCUGAGGUGCGAAAGCGUGGGUAGCAAACAGGAUUAGAUACCCUGGUAGUCCACGCCGUAAACGAUGAGAACUAGCCGUUGGAUCUUAGAUUCAGUGGUACAGCUAACGCAUUAAGUUCUCCG
Molecule: ribosomal RNA, 865 nt
Filed under: uncultured bacterium
Lineage: Bacteria
Description: bacterial SSU rRNA
Rfam family: Bacterial small subunit ribosomal RNA
Source: RNAcentral